This is a non-coding RNA of Vanrija pseudolonga, 74 nucleotides long. NCBI's taxonomy places the organism in Eukaryota, Fungi, Basidiomycota, Tremellomycetes, Trichosporonales, Trichosporonaceae. The record is from the annotation of a RefSeq genome assembly.
GGUCCUAUCGGAAAGUGGAAAAUCCGCUCGAUUUUGAUUCGAGAGACCUGGGUUCGAACCCCAGUGGGCCCUGA